UACGUAGGGUGCGAGCGUUAAUCGGAAUUACUGGGCGUAAAGUGUGCGCAGGCGGCUUCGCAAGUCGAGUGUGAAAUCCCCGAGCUUAACUUGGGAAUUGCGCUCGAAACUACGGAGCUGGAGUGUGGCAGAGGAAGGUGGAAUUCCACGUGUAGCGGUGAAAUGCGUAGAGAUGUGGAGGAACACCAGUGGCGAAGGCGGCGAUCUGGGUCGAUACUGACGCUGAGGUGCGAAAGCGUGGGGAGCAAACAGG
This 253-nucleotide ribosomal RNA is filed under the name uncultured bacterium. RNAcentral's name for it is "partial 16S ribosomal RNA". It matches the Rfam family "Bacterial small subunit ribosomal RNA", at positions 524 to 776 of the family's 1533-position model. The record is from RNAcentral.